UUAAGUCCCGCAACGAGCGCAACCCUUGUUCCAUGUUGCCAGCGUGUUAUGCCGGGGACUCAUGGGAGACUGCCGGGGUCAACUCGGAGGAAGGUGGGGAUGACGUCAAGUCAUCAUGCCCCUUAUGUCCAGGGCUUCACACAUGCUACAAUGGCUCAUACAGAGGGCUGCGAGACCGUGAGGUGGAGCGAAUCCCUUAAAGUGAGUCUCAGUUCGGAUCGGGGUCUGCAACUCGACCCCGUGAAGUUGGAGUCGCUAGUAAUCGCAGAUCAGCAACGCUGC
This 282-nucleotide ribosomal RNA is filed under the name uncultured bacterium. Its description in RNAcentral is "partial 16S ribosomal RNA". It matches the Rfam family "Bacterial small subunit ribosomal RNA", at positions 1080 to 1360 of the family's 1533-position model. The record is from RNAcentral.